Molecule: transfer RNA, 73 nt
Filed under: Canis lupus familiaris (dog)
Lineage: Eukaryota; Metazoa; Chordata; Mammalia; Carnivora; Canidae
Also listed under: 1 other name
Rfam family: tRNA
About the family: Transfer RNA (tRNA) molecules are approximately 80 nucleotides in length.
Source: Rfam by way of RNAcentral
ACCUGGCCAGCUUAGUCGGUGGAGCAUGUGACUCCUGAUCUCAGGGUUGUGAGUUCAAGCUCCACGUUAGGUG